RNAcentral lists this ribosomal RNA (525 nucleotides) under uncultured bacterium. Its description in RNAcentral is "bacterial SSU rRNA". It matches the Rfam family "Bacterial small subunit ribosomal RNA", at positions 20 to 518 of the family's 1533-position model. The record is from RNAcentral.
GGCGUCAGGACGAACGCUGGCGGCGUGCCUAAUACAUGCAAGUCGAACGGUCUUUCUAUGGAAGCUUGCUUCCACUGAGAAGAUAGUGGCGAACGGGUGAGUAACACGUGGGUAACCUGCCCAUAAGAGGGGGAUAACAUCCGGAAACGGGUGCUAAUACCGCAUAGUUUUCUUGAUCGCAUGAUCGGGAAAGGAAAGACGGCCUUUGUGCUGUCGCUUAUGGAUGGACCCGCGGCGUAUUAGUUAGCUGGUGAGGUAACGGCUCACCAAGACGAUGAUACGUAGCCGACCUGAGAGGGUGAUCGGCCACAUUGGGACUGAGACACGGCCCAAACUCCUACGGGAGGCAGCAGUAGGGAAUCUUCCGCAAUGGACGAAAGUCUGACGGAGCAACGCCGCGUGAGUGAAGAAAGGUUUUCGGAUCGUAAAACUCUGUUGUCAGAGAAGAACAAGUUGGAGAGUAACUGCUCCAGCCUUGACGGUAUCUGACCAGAAAGCCACGGCUAACUACGUGCCAGCCGCCGC